CUCGUAGGCGGUUUGUCGCGUCGGGAGUGAAAUCCACUGGCUUAACUGGUGGCUUGCUUUCGAUACGGGCAGACUGGAGGUAUGCAGGGGAGAACGGAAUUCCUGGUGUAGCGGUGAAAUGCGCAGAUAUCAGGAGGAACACCGGUGGCGAAGGCGGUUCUCUGGGCAUGUCCUGACGCUGAGGAGCGAAAGUGUGGGGGAGCGAACA
This 208-nucleotide ribosomal RNA is filed under the name uncultured bacterium. RNAcentral describes it as "partial 16S ribosomal RNA". It matches the Rfam family "Bacterial small subunit ribosomal RNA", at positions 568 to 774 of the family's 1533-position model. The record is from RNAcentral.